This 708-nucleotide ribosomal RNA is filed under the name uncultured Enterobacteriaceae bacterium. Its description in RNAcentral is "bacterial SSU rRNA". It matches the Rfam family "Bacterial small subunit ribosomal RNA", at positions 794 to 1502 of the family's 1533-position model. Lineage: Bacteria; Pseudomonadati; Pseudomonadota; Gammaproteobacteria; Enterobacterales; Enterobacteriaceae. The record is from RNAcentral.
UCCACGCUGUAAACGAUGUCGAUUUGGAGUUUGUUGCCUAGAGUGAUGGGCUCCGAAGCUAACGCGAUAAAUCGACCGCCUGGGGAGUACGGCCGCAAGGUUAAAACUCAAAUGAAUUGACGGGGGCCCGCACAAGCGGUGGAGCAUGUGGUUUAAUUCGAUGCAACGCGAAGAACCUUACCUGGUCUUGACAUCCAUAGAAUUCUGCAGAGAUGUGGGAGUGCCUUCGGGAACUAUGAGACAGGUGCUACAUGGCUGUCGUCAGCUCGUGUUGUGAAAUGUUGGGUUAAGUCCCGCAACGAGCGCAACCCUUAUUCUUUGUUGCCAGCGAUUUGGUCGGGAACUCAAAGGAGACUGCCGUUGAUAAAGCGGAGGAAGGUGGGGACGACGUCAAGUCAUCAUGGCCCUUACGACCAGGGCUACACACGUGCUACAAUGGCGUAUACAAAGGGAAGCGAAGGUGCGAGCUGGAGCGGAUCUCAUAAAGUACGUCUAAGUUCGGAUUGGAGUCUGCAACUCGACUCCAUGAAGUCGGAAUCGCUAGUAAUCGUAGAUCAGAAUGCUACGGUGAAUACGUUCCCGGGCCUUGUACACACCGCCCGUCACACCAUGGGAGUGGGUUGCACCAGAAGUAGAUAGCUUAACCGCGAGGGGGGCGUUUACCACGGUGUGAUUCAUGACUGGGGUGAAGUCGUAACAAGGUAACCA